AUGGAAGACCUCGGUGAAGCUGCGUAUAUAUUGGGCAUCAAGAUCUAUAGAGAUAGAUCAAGACGCUUAAUUGGACUUUCACAAAGCACAUACCUUGACAAAGUUUUGAAGAAGUUCAAAAUGGAUCAAGCAAAGAAAGGAUUCUUGCUUGUGCUACAAGGUGUGAAGUUGAGUAAGACUCAAUGCCCAACCACUGCAGAAGAUAGAGAGAAGAUGAAAGAUGUUCCCUAUGCUUCAGCCAUAGGCUCUAUCAUGUAUGCAAUGCUGUGUACCAGACCUGAUGUGUGCCUUGCUAUAAGUCUGGUAGGAAGGUACCAAACUAAUCCAGGAGUGGAUCACUGGACAGCGGUCAAGAACAUCCUGAAAUACCUGAAAAGGACUAAGGAUAUGUUUCUCGUUUAUGGAGGUGACAAAGAGCUCAUCGUAAAUGGUUACGUUGAUGCAAGCUUUGACACUGAUCCGGACGAUUCUAAAUCGCAAACUGGAUACGUGUUUACAUUGAACGGUGGAGCUGUCAGCUGGUGCAGUUCUAAACAAAGCGUCGUGGCGGGAUCUACGUGUGAAGCGGAGUACAUAGCUGCUUCGGAAGCAGCAAAUGAAGGAGUCUAG
Molecule: ribosomal RNA, 609 nt
Filed under: Triticum aestivum (bread wheat)
Lineage: Eukaryota; Viridiplantae; Streptophyta; Magnoliopsida; Poales; Poaceae
Description: partial small subunit ribosomal RNA
Source: RNAcentral